RNAcentral lists this non-coding RNA (24 nucleotides) under Cricetulus griseus (Chinese hamster). Lineage: Eukaryota; Metazoa; Chordata; Mammalia; Rodentia; Cricetidae. The record is from RNAcentral.
AUUCACUCUGUAGACUAGGCUGGC